Molecule: ribosomal RNA, 448 nt
Filed under: uncultured bacterium
Lineage: Bacteria
Description: partial 16S ribosomal RNA
Rfam family: Bacterial small subunit ribosomal RNA
Source: RNAcentral
AAUGAACGCUGGCGGCAGGCCUAACACAUGCAAGUCGAACGGAUCCUUCGGGAUUAGUGGCGGACGGGUGAGUAACGCGUGGGAACAUACCCUUUGGUACGGAAUAGCCUCGGGAAACUGGGAGUAAUACCGUAUGUGGUCGAGAGACGAAAGAUUUAUCGCCAAAGGAUUGGCCCGCGUUGGAUUAGGUAGUUGGUGGGGUAAUGGCCUACCAAGCCGACGAUCCAUAGCUGGUUUGAGAGGAUGAUCAGCCACACUGGGACUGAGACACGGCCCAGACUCCUACGGGAGGCAGCAGUGGGGGAUCUUAGACAAUGGGGAAACCCUGAUCUAGCCAUGCCGCGUGAUCGAUGAAGGCCUUAGGGUUGUAAAGAUCUUUCAGGUGGGAAGAUAAUGACUGUACCACCAGAAGAAGCCCCGGCUAACUCCGUGCCAGCCGCCGCUGUAA